This 377-nucleotide unclassified non-coding RNA is filed under the name uncultured Bryobacterales bacterium. RNAcentral describes it as "contains 16S-23S intergenic spacer region". Lineage: Bacteria; Pseudomonadati; Acidobacteriota; Terriglobia; Bryobacterales. The record is from RNAcentral.
UCCAGCUUAUCGCUGGCGGUCUCCUGCGAGUUCCCAACUGAAUGAUGGCAACACAGGACGAGGGUUGCACUCGUUGCGGGACUUAACCCAACAUCUCACGACACGAGCUGACGACAGCCAUGCAGCACCUCGACUCCACCCCCUUGCGGGGUAGCGCUAUUUCUAACGCCGUUGAGAAGCCGUUCGAGCCCAGGUAAGGUUCUUCGCGUUGCGUCGAAUUGAACCACAUGCUCCACCGCUUGUGCGGGCCCCCGUCAAUUCCUUUGAGUUUCAGCCUUGCGACUGUACUCCCCAGGCGGCAUAUUUAACGCGUUAGCUCCGGCACGGACAGAAUGAACUGCCCACACCUAGUUGACAUCGUUUAGGGCGUGGACUAC